AUUGAACGCUGGCGGCAUGCUUUACACAUGCAAGUCGAACGGCAGCGCGGGCUUCGGCCUGGCGGCGAGUGGCGAACGGGUGAGUAAUACAUCGGAACGUGCCCAGUAGUGGGGGAUAGCUCGGCGAAAGCCGGAUUAAUACCGCAUACGACCUGAGGGUGAAAGCGGGGGAUCUUCGGACCUCGCGCUAUUGGAGCGGCCGAUGGCAGAUUAGCUAGUUGGUGGGGUAAAGGCCUACCAAGGCGACGAUCUGUAGCUGGUCUGAGAGGACGACCAGCCACACUGGGACUGAGACACGGCCCAGACUCCUACGGGAGGCAGAAGUGGGGAAUUUGGACAAUGGGCGAAAGCCUGAUCCAGCAAUGCCGCGUGUGUGAUGAAGGCCUUCGGGUUGUAAAGCACUUUUGGCGGGAACGAAAAGGACUGUGCCAAUACCACGGUUCGAUGACGGUACCCGCAGAAUAAGCACCGGCUAACUACGUG
Molecule: ribosomal RNA, 483 nt
Filed under: uncultured bacterium
Lineage: Bacteria
Description: partial 16S ribosomal RNA
Rfam family: Bacterial small subunit ribosomal RNA
Source: RNAcentral